UACGGGGGGGGCAAGCGUUGUUCGGAAUUACUGGGCGUAAAGGGCUCGUAGGUGGCCAACUAAGUCGGACGUGAAAUCCCUCGGCUUAACCGGGGAACUGCGUCCGAUACUGGUUGGCUUGAGUUUGGGAGAGGGAUGCGGAAUUCCAGGUGUAGCGGUGAAAUGCGUAGAUAUCUGGAGGAACACCGGUGGCGAAGGCGGCAUCCUGGACCGGGAUUGACACUGAGGCGCGAAAGCCAGGGGAGCAAACGGG
This 253-nucleotide ribosomal RNA is filed under the name uncultured bacterium. RNAcentral's name for it is "partial 16S ribosomal RNA". It matches the Rfam family "Bacterial small subunit ribosomal RNA", at positions 524 to 776 of the family's 1533-position model. The record is from RNAcentral.